Molecule: transfer-messenger RNA, 391 nt
Filed under: Minisyncoccota bacterium
Lineage: Bacteria; Bacillati; Minisyncoccota
Rfam family: transfer-messenger RNA
About the family: Bacterial tmRNA, also known as 10Sa RNA or SsrA, is named for its dual tRNA and mRNA-like properties. Its role is to liberate the mRNA from a stalled ribosome.
Source: RNAcentral
GGGGGUGACUGGCUUCGACAGGGAAAUCGGUAUGUGCGUGCGCGCGGCGAACUUGCGGAAUGUUCUCAAACUUUCGCAAACUUCAAGUGCGAACAAAGUAGCACGUGCAGUUGUUUCGCCCAUUCAAUUGGGUAACCUGCAGCUCGCAUAACGCCUCCGGGCCUUAUGCGCCGUCCGCGGAGCCGAAGCUUGAUCAAGCUUCGUCGGGCGUAAAAUUCUCAAGCGCAAGUCGGUGGUGUCCAACGCCGACCCCAGCACACGGACUCGGGGUGAUGUGUUUUCGUUCAUCUUAUAUACAUCACUCCUAAACAAAAACAGGUGAUCUACGCCACGUAGACACACGCACCGUACUUUUCUCUGGACGGGAGUUCGAUUCUCCCCACCUCCACCA